This 283-nucleotide unclassified non-coding RNA is filed under the name Hevea brasiliensis (rubber tree). The record is from RNAcentral. Lineage: Eukaryota; Viridiplantae; Streptophyta; Magnoliopsida; Malpighiales; Euphorbiaceae.
AUCUUUGUAUUCUGCAUGACCCGCAACUGAGGUAGUACUGAGACAGCUUCCAGGUAUACACAGAAUGCCCAAAAAAUCCUGUUCACUAAAUUAUGAGAUGUUGAUGGAUGAAUAAGAAGUGCUAGAAUAGCACAGGGUAGCGCCACAUAAUAUAUUGCAAAGUUAUCUUUGUCCUCCAUAUAACUAGACUUCAAUUUGAAACGGAUCAUAUAAAUAACCCACAAAGUUGUUGCCAAUGUAGCCAAGUCAAGUACGGUAUGUAUAUCAUAUUCCAUCACAAAGC